AUUGAACGCUGGCGGCAGGCCUAACACAUGCAAGUCGAACGAGUGGCGGACGGGUGAGUAAUGUCUGGUAAACUGCCCGAUGGGGGGGGAUCACUGCUGGAAGCGGUAGAUAAUACCGCAUAACAUCGGAUGUGACCAGAUGGGAUUAGCUAGUAGGUGGGGUAACGGCUCACCUAGGCGACGAUCCCUAGCUGGUAUGAGAGGAUGACCAGCCACACUGGAACUGAGACACGGUCCAGCCUCCUACGGUAGGCAGCAGUGGGGAAUAUUGCACAAUGGGCGCAAGCCUGAUGCAGCCAUGCCGCGUGUAUGAAGAAGGCCUUCGGGUUGUAAAGUACUUUCAGCGAGGAGGCGUUACUCGCAGAAGAAGCACCGGCUAACUCCGUGCCAGCAGCCGCGGUAAUAC
RNAcentral lists this ribosomal RNA (406 nucleotides) under uncultured bacterium. RNAcentral describes it as "partial 16S ribosomal RNA". It matches the Rfam family "Bacterial small subunit ribosomal RNA", at positions 30 to 526 of the family's 1533-position model. The record is from RNAcentral.